GAGCUAUCGAGAGAACAUCAGAUGUCGCGGUGACGAGAAGUUCUAGAAAAACACAGGUCUCAUUGACAUAGAUGUAGCGCUCUUGGAGGAAUUGUUGGUCAUUCUUCUCAUUCAGAGCUGCUUUACUGCAAACAAUGACUCAAAGGUUUAUGUGUCAGGCAUUACGAACCAUUGUAUUAUAUUGAAUGAGUCUGUUCCUAGUCUGGCAAUCACGUGGUGUGAUGCAGUGAGAGAGGCAGGUUCUGUCAGGCUGGUCCGGACCUCCCGGCGCCUGGCCUGUCACACUGCCCAGGGGAUAAAAGACAACUUGGCUUCGACCAACAAACUGAGCUCUAAAGGAGAAGACAAGCACAGAUGUCCUCCCUUCAAUCUCUCUUCUCAGCUUUCUCACUGCUGUGGAAGAUCUCCCCAGCGUUUUGAGGCUCACCCGGUCAGGAUGAGGUGCCAAGAAGAACAUCUGCAUGGAUGUGCUGACAAAAGCUGGAUGGAUUCAUCUUCUCUCUACAUGUAAGAGGGUGGGACAGCUCUGCAUCUGGCUUUCCCAUACACACAUAAUGACUACUGAAAUGAAUGUUAAAUUAUUUGUUUGUGCUGCUGACUAGUCCAUUACCAUCAAAUCAGUAUCACUGUAGCGCUCAAAUCUCAUUUAUGUUUGUGUAUGUUCAAAUAUAGAGAUGUCGCACUGGGUUGGAUAUCACUGGUUGCUUUAGGAGACAAGCAUCAACAGAAAUCACACAUUUCGACACAUGGAUUGAUGUUUUUUAUGUCAAACAAUGUCAAAUGUCUCUCAAGUAUCUGACCUGAGCCCCAGGUGAGCAGAUAUUUAUAUUCUCGACACUAAGAAAGAUUGCUAUGAUGUACGGUCCCCUUAACUAUUGACACACAAAGUGCAUGUGCUGAACUCCAAUGAUCUCGUCCUUGUUUUUCCUGCGUCUGCUGAGUAUUACCGCACAGCUCAACCAUGUGCAAGAACAGCUGGAUCCUGCUGUGGCCAACGGCUGCUCUCCUUUAUUACGGCCGGGGAAGUGACAUCAGUAGCCCAAGACAACAAUAAAGGAGACGAAAUCACAACAGCCGACUUGUGGGACACAUCAUUGCUGUGAUUUUCUUUUUUCCAACUGAACUCCAAACACACCCAGCAGUUGCAGCUUUAGAGGAUGUCAUAAAUCCAAGAACAUAUGCAUUAGGAAAUAUGAUGUGUUUCACGUCUAGAAAUGACGUUAGCAGACGUGCUCAAGAGAGGUAAUAAAGCAAGACAUUGUCAGCUAUAAAUGCUAAAAGAAGCAUAGGCUUUCCCCACCAGUGACUGAGAAAACCUUCAUCAUAUUUUACAUAUUAUACUGUAUUUAACUGUAUAUUAUUAUAAACUGACUAAAUUGAUCGACUACAGUCAACGGGUCAGUAAUAAUGAACAUUUUUCAAUAGGGUAACAGUAGUUCAGCUAUUUUCAUAUUAGUGUAGCCUUUUCGAGAACUGGCGAAUUUAUCAAUCUAGACACGGUUUGCGCAGUCUAUUGUUUUUUAAAUGUCUGAACUGAGGGAUUUCUUAAACGCACUCAACUACACAUACUCCGUAGUUCUCUUCAUUAAGUGAAUUGAUUCAUCACAAACGGCCCUCUCCGUCAUAACGAAUGUGGCAUGCAGUUCAUUUUAGUGAAUCGAUUCAUCCCAGGUAAGUCAGGUUCAUAUAAAUAAUUUAAAGAUUGUAACUCUAAAUAUAGCCAAGUAGCCUAUUAUCAGAAGAUUAGCUUAGCUGUUGUAACUAGCUUAGUUCAAAUUAAGAUUUGCUUUAAGUUGGGACCGGUUCGUUUAAAGAGUAAUUGCGAAAACGACACCUUGUUUACAGGAGUGUGCUUCUUUGAAUUUUUAUUUCAGCUAAUGCAAUUGCAUACAUGUUAUUUGUGGCUAUACUUCUAGACCUAUUCUGUACAUUACAUUACACCAGAUCUAGUAUUGUAGCAGACUUGUAUGAGUCUGAGCACAUGUGUGAGAGGAAGCCAGGACCUGGCUGACUAUCUCACUCGGGGAUAGUGCCUCUUUUAUGGGGCAGUCUGUGAUUGUCCCUUGUUCCUGUUGUUCUAUUUGUGACUCUGUGGUCGUCUCAAAGGUUUCCCACCAGAUCGGAUUGCUGCAGCGCACAGCCUAGAAAAACUCCAUUCAGGUCCUCACCAGGCCAGCUUCUCCCUCUCUCACCACCCUCUUUCCUGUAACCCUUCCCCAGUCGGGACCCAGCUGGAGAACAAUGCAUCGUUACCUACAGUGCAGUGUGGCUGGGUGAGACAGAAACCAAUCCGCCCCAAAACUGCCUGGGAAUUGGCUCCUCAUGGGACAAAGCAAGCGUGUGUGUGUCCCUAUAUGUGUUUGUGUUUGAGAGAGAGAGUUUGUAUUGAAAGUGUUUAUGCGUAUUUGUAAAGUAAACACACUGCUUUACAAUGACACUGUUGUUGUAUAAGACAGAACUGUAGUUAGUUUUUGCUUUUUAAGCAGCUAAAUCAGUCUGUCUAAAAAAUAUUUAAACAUUUCAAAAACUAGAUACAUUUACUUCAGAAGAAAUUGCAAAAUAUGUUUAAUCUAUUGGUUAAAAUAGGAAGCUCAAUAAAAGGUAGCAGUAAACAAAAAUAAACCAAGCAAAAAAUAAAUAAAUAAAUAAAUAAAAAUAAACUAAAUUAGUGCAGCAGAGUUUACUUUAGCAUGUCAUUAAUAUUAUUAUUACAGAUAUCCUUCCCCUCAAAACUUGACAACUUAUUUUUAUAAUUGACAAUAUCGGUUUUACAAUUGAUUUGUAUAAUUAUUACAAUUUGAUAUAACUGUUUUCCAUGUUAAAAUAUUGUUAAAAUGAUAUUUAUUCCUUUGAUGCAAAGCUGAAUUUUCUACAUCAUUAGUCUUAGUGUAGCAUCAUAAUCUUAAAUGAGC
Molecule: long non-coding RNA, 2912 nt
Organism: Carassius auratus (goldfish)
Lineage: Eukaryota; Metazoa; Chordata; Actinopteri; Cypriniformes; Cyprinidae
Source: Ensembl